This 305-nucleotide ribosomal RNA is filed under the name uncultured bacterium. RNAcentral describes it as "bacterial SSU rRNA". It matches the Rfam family "Bacterial small subunit ribosomal RNA", at positions 335 to 632 of the family's 1533-position model. The record is from RNAcentral.
UUACCUACGGGAGGCAGCAGUAGGGAAUUUUCGUCAAUGGGCGCAAGCCUGAACGAGCGAUGCCGCGUGAGUGAAGAAGGCCUUCGGGUCGUAAAGCUCUGUUGCGGGGGAAGAACGGUCACUGUGCUAAUCAGCAGUGAAUUGACGGUACCUGCAAAGGAAGCACCGGCUAACUCCGUGCCAGCAGCCGCGGUAAUACGGAGGGUGCGAGCGUUAAUCGGAAUUACUGGGCGUAAAGCGCUCGUAGGCGGUAUGUCAAGUCAAGGGUGAAAUCCCCGCGCUCAACGUGGGAACUGCCUUUGAAA